CACGUAGGGCGCAAGCGUUGUCCGGAAUUAUUGGGCGUAAAGAGCUCGUAGGCGGUCUGUUGCGUCCGCUGUGAAAACCCGGGGCUUAACCCCUGGCUUGCAGUGGAUACGGACAGACUAGAGGUAGGUAGGGGAGAAUGGAAUUCCCGGUGUAGCGGUGAAAUGCGCAGAUAUCGGGAGGAACACCGGUGGCGAAGGCGGUUCUCUGGGCCUUACCUGACGCUGAGACGCGAAAGCGUGGGGAGCGAACAGG
RNAcentral lists this ribosomal RNA (253 nucleotides) under uncultured bacterium. RNAcentral describes it as "partial 16S ribosomal RNA". It matches the Rfam family "Bacterial small subunit ribosomal RNA", at positions 524 to 776 of the family's 1533-position model. The record is from RNAcentral.